Gallus gallus (chicken) is the source of this 1392-nucleotide long non-coding RNA. The record is from Ensembl. Lineage: Eukaryota; Metazoa; Chordata; Aves; Galliformes; Phasianidae.
CUGAGAGAAAGAAAGGUAGGAUCUGUUCAGCUUAGAGAAGGCUUGGGGCCAGCUCAGCCACCCAUGUGUACAAAUAACCAAAGGGAGGGCACACAGAAGACUCAGGCUCUUAGCGGUGCAGCAGCAGGACUGGAAGCAAUGGCCACAUACUAAGACACAGGGGAUUCUAUUGUGAAGAUAAAGAAACACUUUCUCACCGAGGGUGACUGUGCACAUUCACAGGUUGCCCUGAGGGGUUAUGGGCACUCCAUCCUUGGUGGUAUCCAAAAGGCAUAUGAACACAAUGCUGGGCAUCUUGCUGCAGGUAGGAGGCUCUGCCUGAACAGAGACUUUGGACAAGAUGACCUCAGGAGAUUCCUUCUAACCUCUGCCUUUCUUUGAAACAUGUUGAGAGCUGUUAAUGUGGUCAUCAUCUUCAGCACUGUUUGGAGACCUGCAGAAUUCAUAUCAGUGCCUUGAGUGACAUCAAAUGCCAACCCAUGAGGACAACAGGAUAACAGUGUAAAUACUAAUCACCAUCAAAAUUAAGCCUUCACCCAUCUUACAAGGCACUGCCUUUUCUUCCACGGGGCUAGUUAAGGUGAGCAACACAUAGAAAGGUCUCCCUUUUGCAUCUUCAGCAAAAGCAAAGUGACAGACCUGCAAUGAUGGAAGAAACCAAUGCUGUCACUACAGUACGGAAGAUGCCUCCCCCAGGCAGGAUCUGCAGAGCCCGAGUGCUUUCUCUUCACCCUGAAGCCAUGCCCUUUCUUGGCUGAACCAUGCCACCUUUCUCCAAGAUGGAUUUAAAAGAUGUGCUUUCUUUUGUAACUUAGUGGACAUUUCCCUCUCAGUUGUCGCUGCACCACAAUGUCUGUGUCAUUAAGAAUAUUUUAAAAAUAUUUUAGAGUCUUCCAAAAAAUCUUCAAAAGUAGCUAAAGUAGUCUUGUUGACUUGUUGAACUUCAUUAGGUUCACAUGGGUCCACUUCUCAAGUUUGUCCAGGUCACGUUGGUUGGCAUCCCUUCCUUCUAUUGCACUGCUCAGCUUGGUAUAAUCAGCCACCUCGCUGAGGGUGCACUCAAUUCCACCAUCUGUCUCAUUAAUAAGGAUACGAAGCAGUACAGAUUCCAGUAUGGAACCAGUCAUUCAUCACUGGCUUUCAUCUGGACAUACUUGGGCACAGAGCAAUUUACAGCAACUCUUUGUCUGUGGCCACCCAGCCAAGAUCAUUCAGUACAUCCGCUUAUGGGAAUGAGAGAAUUUUAAUAAAGCGGGUGUAUUUAACUUUAGUUUGAUAAAAUAAUUACAGGAAAACCUGUCUCUGGUCAGUAUUAUCCAUUUGAUUGUAUUGCAAAUGACUGUCUGGCUGAGUUCCUUCUCUCUUCUCAUUACAAUUUCAGCGCUGUGGGAU